CCAGUUCAAUUUAAAUUUCAAAAAAAUAAUUUUUAGUAUAAGUAUAGCCCAUGCAGUACUUGGGAUAUACUUAUGCUAAACAUCUUUUCCUUGUUUGUCUGAAAUUCAAAUUGAACUGGGUCUCUUGUA
This 129-nucleotide microRNA precursor is filed under the name Otolemur garnettii (small-eared galago). RNAcentral's name for it is "miRNA (ENSOGAG00000021481.1)". The record is from RNAcentral. Lineage: Eukaryota; Metazoa; Chordata; Mammalia; Primates; Galagidae.